AAAUUAAAAAUUAAUAAUUUUAAUUUUAAUAAAAGUAAUUUUUAUAUUGAAAUAAGGGGGUUAAAGUAUUUUAAUAGAAAAAAUUAGAAAUUUUAUAGUUAAUUAGUAUAGUCAUAGAAAUUUGAAAAAUAUGAAAAUAAAUUUAAUUUAAAGUAAAUUUAAUUUAUUGUAUCUUGUGUAUCAGAGUUUAUUAAUUAAUUUUUAAAAAUUUAAAUAUCUCGAAUUUAAAAGAGUUAAUUAAUUAAUAAAUUUAAUGUUGAAUAAUUAUUUUAAAUAAUUAAUUAGAAAUGAAAUGUUAAUCGUUUUUAAAUAUAUCUAGUUAUUUUAGAAAAAAAUUUAAUUUUAAAUUUAUAGAAUAUUUWUAUAUUAUUUAAAUAAUUUAAAUAAAAAUAAAUUUUAUAAUUUAAGGGAUAAUCUUUAAAUUAAAAUUUUAUAAUUAAUUYUUUUUUUWUUAAAAUUUUUAAAAUUUAUAUUGUUUAAAAAUUAAAAUUUUUUAUAAAAAAUUNNNNNNNNNNNNNNNNNNNAUAAAUAAAAUUUAAAAAUAAAUUUAAUUUUAUAUAAAAAUAUGAUUUUUAAUUAUAAAUAAUUAGAAAUAAUGAUAAAAUUAGUAUAAUUAAUUAAAAUAAAAUAAAUAAAAUAAAUUUAAAAUUAAAUUAAAGGAAUUCGGCAAAAUUUUAUAUUCACCUGUUUAACAAAAACAUGUCUUUUUGAUUUUAAUUUAAAGUCUAAUCUGCCCACUGAUUAAAUAUUAAAGGGCUGCAGUAAUUUGACUGUACAAAGGUAGCAUAAUCAUUAGUCUUUUAAUUGGAGACUUGUAUGAAAGAUUUGAUGAGAUAUAAACUGUCUCUUAUUUAUAAUUAAAAUUUAAUUUUUUAGUUAAAAAGCUAAAAUAAAUUUAAAAGACGAGAAGACCCUAUAGAGUUUAAUAAUUUAUGAUUUAAAAUAUUUAUAUAAAAUUUUAAUAUUUAAUAAAAUAAAUUAUUUUGUUGGGGUGAUAAAAAAAUUUAAUAAACUUUUUUUUUUUAAAAUAAUCAUAAAUAAAUGAAUAAAUGAUCCUAAAUAAAGAUUAUAAGAAAAAAUUACCUUAGGGAUAACAGCGUAAUAUUUUUUUUUAGUACAAAUAAAAAAAAAAGUUUGCGACCUCGAUGUUGGAUUAAGAUAAAAUUUAAAUGCAAAAGUUUAAAAUUUUGAUCUGUUCGAUCAUUAAAAUCUUACAUGAUCUGAGUUCAAACCGGUGUAAGCCAGGUUGGUUUCUAUCUUUAAAAAAAUAAAAUAUUUUAGUACGAAAGGAUCAAAUAUUUAAAAUAAUUUUAUUAUUUAUGAAUUUUAAUAAUAGUUGUAUA
This 1343-nucleotide ribosomal RNA is filed under the name Glaucopsyche lygdamus xerces. RNAcentral's name for it is "16S ribosomal RNA". Lineage: Eukaryota; Metazoa; Arthropoda; Insecta; Lepidoptera; Lycaenidae. The record is from RNAcentral.